AUUGAACGCUGGCGGCAUGCCUAACACAUGCAAGUCGAGCGGCAGCGCGGGGGCAACCCUGGCGGCGAGCGGCGGACGGGUGAGUAAGGCAUCGGAAUCUGCCCUGGAUGUGGGGGAUAACGUAGGGGAAACUUACGCUAAUACCGCAUACGACCGAGAGGUGAAAGCGGGGGACCGAAAGGCCUCGCGCAGCAGGAUGAGCCGAUGUCCGAUUAGCUAGUUGGUGGGGUAAAGGCCUACCAAGGCGACGAUCGGUAGCUGGUCUGAGAGGAUGAUCAGCCACACUGGGACUGAGACACGGCCCAGACUCCUACGGGAGGCAGCAGUGGGGAAUAUUGGACAAUGGGGGCAACCCUGAUCCAGCAAUGCCGCGUGUGUGAAGAAGGCCUUCGGGUUGUAAAGCACUUUUAUCGGGAACGAAACACCGUGGGUUAAUACCCUGCGGGACUGACGGUACCCGAGGAAUAAGCACCGGCUAACUCCGUG
RNAcentral lists this ribosomal RNA (486 nucleotides) under uncultured bacterium. Its description in RNAcentral is "bacterial SSU rRNA". It matches the Rfam family "Bacterial small subunit ribosomal RNA", at positions 29 to 507 of the family's 1533-position model. The record is from RNAcentral.